GGGAAGUGCCGCGCAGAGGCAGGGACCGGCGCAGGGGCACGCGGCUUGCGGGGGCCCAGAAAGGUCUUCAUUUAGCUUUGACAGCGCAGAAAGUGGAAACGUGAAAGAAGCGCUGCUUCCACUGCUUCCAAAAUGAUUCACUCCUGCAGCCUGGCGCCCAGUCUCAAGAAAAUAACAAAACAAAAAGCUGUCAAGAGGAAGCCUGGAACACGCUUGCAGAGCUUCCUGGGGAAGAUCUCCUCCCGAGGGACUGAGGCCCUGGGCAGCGCCUUUCCUACCCUCCACGCAGCUAUACAGCUCUCACCUCCCAGCUCCGAUCUGUCCUAAAAGCUCUUACACCCCCUCCACACCUAGUUAAGCCGCAUUUUCUUCUUCACCCUCGUACCUGUUGCAGAGAACCACAUCGAAGCCAGGUCACUGCGGCUGCGGAAGCGUUAAGGAUGACAACGGUGGUAAAAGAACUGGCUUAUCCGAGCGCUGCGUGGGCUAAUCAUAAAUACUCCCACGCGCUAGCUGCUGUGUGGGGAGUGCUCACUGAGGGUGGCAGCUGUGGGCUCUGAGGACUGCUGGAACUACUUAAAGGAACUCGAGGGCUGCUAAAACAGAUUCAGUGUUCGAUAUGCGCUGGCUCCCUAGAAUCCAAGUAGAAAAAUAGCUGCCAAGGUGCAUGAAGUCACUUUUGUGUCCCUCCCCCCAUCUGUGCCUUUGAGAGGUGAUACAGCUCAGCAUUUUGUGUCUCGUUAUCCAGAUUUGCAGAUGUGGUAUAAAUCUAAAGGGCUUUCAUAGCAGGAAGUGGUAGGUGGAGACAUCCUCAGGGCUAAGACACAGCUGCCAGGGAAACUCUGGUGGGUGGGAGGAGGAGGCAAAAGACCAGGCCUGGUGAGCGAGAGCCUUCCCAGGGACCAUCUCAGCUGAGAGCCAGCGAGAUAGGGAGGGUGCGACUGAGCUGCGGUGCCUGCAGCGGGGCUCGUCCAGCACACAAUUUGUUAGGGCCAGAUGUGGAACGCAACUGCCUCCUUUGUGGGAUAGAGACGUGAAACCGGAGCUACGCGACUCCCCUUUGCUGCUCCGCCUCACCUUCCCCCCGAUCUCCAAGUGGAAGAGGAAACUUCAUAAAAUAAGGGCAUUAUACCCUUAAAGCCAAAAUAACCUUUUCUCUCCUCCUGGUAUUGUCAGAACUCUGACAGUCUCUACAGGAGCAAAAACCCCACUGGUCUAAACUGAGACCCAGUCUUCAGCCUAGAGAUGAAAAGUGGGUUUUCCAGAUGACGUGCAUGGAAAUUCCAGCUGCAGUGAUUUCUUUAUAGUGUAUAACACUCCCCCCCCCCCCACCUUCAGGCCGGCUCUGAGAGGGCACCAUUAGGAGGCACAUUGGCAACAUUCAGUGAUUCAAGUUGGUUGGAGCCACUGACGUCCACUGGGCUAUGUGGACAAUACAUAGAGUAUACGAUAGUCAGAGCACAUGCGUCCACUAAAUCCAAUUGCUUGCCAACUUCUCGGGGGGGGGGGGAGAAAAAAAAAUCACCAUUAAUUAGGUCCUGAUUUUAUUGGGACACCCUGCAAAAUUAAUUUAGUGGUCUGCCUGUGGGCCAAAACAGCUGUUACGGAGUUGCAAGUAAGAAUUUGAUAUAAAGCACUAGCAUGGGAGAAAAAUCAGAUUUCCAGAUAGAAACUCUGAACUUGCACGUAAAUAACACUGUGAGAUCAGAGGUUUGGGUUGCAGGUCAGACAGAGGUGGAGAUGGCUUCUCUGGGACUCGAAGGCAAGAGCAUGUCACUUAAUGGCUCAAAGGCUUUUUUUUUUUUUUUUUUU
This is a long non-coding RNA of Rhea pennata, 1812 nucleotides long. RefSeq lists it as uncharacterized. The record is from RefSeq and is a predicted model, not a curated record. The transcript has 3 exons. NCBI's taxonomy places the organism in Eukaryota, Metazoa, Chordata, Aves, Rheiformes, Rheidae.